This 375-nucleotide unclassified non-coding RNA is filed under the name soil metagenome. RNAcentral describes it as "partial contains 5.8S ribosomal RNA, internal transcribed spacer 2, and large subunit ribosomal RNA". The stretch from base 1 to 120 matches the Rfam family "5.8S ribosomal RNA", at positions 35 to 154 of the family's 154-position model. The record is from RNAcentral.
GAUGAAGAACGUAGCGAAAUGCGAUAAGUAAUGUGAAUUGCAGAAUUCAGUGAAUCAUCGAAUCUUUGAACGCACAUUGCGCCCGCCAGUAUUCUGGCGGGCAUGCCUGUUCGAGCGUCAUUUUAACCCUCAAGACCCCUUCGGGGGACUUGGUGUUGGGGACCGGCACAGGGGCCUGCCUGCUUGUCUUGCAGCGCCCUCGCCGCCCCCGAAAUGAAUUGGCGGCCUCGUCGCGGCCUCCCCUGCGUAGUAGCACAAACCUCGCAACGGGAACGUGACGGCGGCCACUGCCGUAAAACAACCCAAUUUUAUUAGAGUUGACCUCGAAUCAGGUAGGAAUACCCGCUGAACUUAAGCAUAUCAAUAAGCGGAGGA